GCGGCGUGCUUAACACAUGCAAGUCGAACAGAAAGGCCCUGCUUUUGUGGGGUGCUCGAGUGGCGAACGGGUGAGUAACACGUGAGUAACCUGCCCUUGACUUUGGGAUAACUUCAGGAAACUGGGGCUAAUACCGGAUAGGAGCUCCUGCUGCAUGGUGGGGGUUGGAAAGUUUCGGCGGUUGGGGAUGGACUCGCGGCUUAUCAGCUUGUUGGUGGGGUAGUGGCUUACCAAGGCUUUGACGGGUAGCCGGCCUGAGAGGGUGACCGGCCACAUUGGGACUGAGAUACGGCCCAGACUCCUACGGGAGGCAGCAGUGGGGAAUAUUGCACAAUGGGCGGAAGCCUGAUGCAGCAACGCCGCGUGCGGGAUGACGGCCUUCGGGUUGUAAACCGCUUUCGCCUGUGACGAAGCGUGAGUGACGGUAAUGGGUAAAGAAGCACCGGCUAACUACGUGCCAGCAGCCGCGGUGAUACGUAGGGUGCGAGCGUUGUCCGGAUUUAUUGGGCGUAAAGGGCUCGUAGGUGGUUGAUCGCGUCGGAAGUGUAAUCUUGGGGCUUAACCCUGAGCGUGCUUUCGAUACGGGUUGACUUGAGGAAGGUAGGGGAGAAUGGAAUUCCUGGUGGAGCGGUGGAAUGCGCAGAUAUCAGGAGGAACACCAGUGGCGAAGGCGGUUCUCUGGGCCUUUCCUGACGCUGAGGAGCGAAAGCGUGGGGAGCGAACAGGCUUAGAUACCCUGGUAGUCCACGCUGUAAACGGUGGGUACUAGGUGUGGGGUCCAUUCCACGGGUUCCGUGCCGUAGCUAACGCUUUAAGUACCCCGCCUGGGGAGUACGGCCGCAAGGCUAAAACUCAAAGGAAUUGACGGGGCCCCGCACAAGCGGCGGAGCAUGCGGAUUAAUUCGAUGCAACGCGUAGAACCUUACCUGGGUUUGACAUGGAUCGGGAGUGCUCAGAGAUGGGUGUGCCUCUUUUGGGGUCGGUUCACAGGUGGUGCAUGGCUGUCGUCAGCUCGUGUCGUGAGAUGUUGGGUUAAGUCCCGCAACGAGCGCAACCCUUGUUCACUGUUGCCAGCACGUUAUGGUGGGGACUCAGUGGAGACCGCCGGGGUCAACUCGGAGGAAGGUGGGGAUGACGUCAAGUCAUCAUGCCCCUUAUGUCCAGGGCUUCACGCAUGCUACAAUGGCUGGUACAGAGAGUGGCGAGCCUGUGAGGGUGAGCGAAUCUCGGAAAGCCGGUCUCAGUUCGGAUUGGGGUCUGCAACUCGACCUCAUGAAGUCGGAGUCGCUAGUAAUCGCGGAUCAGCAACGCUGCGGUGAAUACGUUCCCGGGGCUUGUACACACCGCCCGUCAAGUCAUGAAAGUUGGUAACACCCGAAGCCGGUGGCCUAACCGUUGUGGGGGAGCCGUCGAAGGUGGGACUGGUGAUUAGG
This 1433-nucleotide ribosomal RNA is filed under the name uncultured organism. RNAcentral's name for it is "16S ribosomal RNA". It matches the Rfam family "Bacterial small subunit ribosomal RNA". The record is from RNAcentral.